CCUACGCGAGGCAGCAGUGGGGAAUAUUGCACAAUGGGGGGAACCCUGAUGCAGCGACGCCGCGUGAGUGAAGAAGUAUUUCGGUAUGUAAAGCUCUAUCAGCAGGGAAGAAGAUGACGGUACCUGACUAAGAAUCCCCGGCUAACUACGUGCCAGCAGCCGCGGUAAUACGUAGGGGGCAAGCGGUAACCGGAUUUACUGGGUGGAAGGGGAGCGAAGACGGCAGGGAAAGUCUGGGGUGAAAGCCCGGGGCCGAACCUCGGGACUGAUUUCGCAACUGCGAGGUUAGAGUGCUGGGAAGGUAAGCGUACUGCAGAGUGGAGCGGUGAAAGGCGUAGAUAUUAGGAGGUACACCAGUGGCGAAGGCGGGUUAAUGGACAGUAACUGACGUUGCGGCUCGAAAGCGUGGGGAGCAAACAGGAUUAGAUACCCUGGUAGUC
Molecule: ribosomal RNA, 440 nt
Filed under: uncultured bacterium
Lineage: Bacteria
Description: partial 16S ribosomal RNA
Rfam family: Bacterial small subunit ribosomal RNA
Source: RNAcentral